AACGCACCAGGUGGUCUGUAUCAACAACAUAAAUUUCCAGAGAAAAUCUGUGGUUGGUUAUGUGGAGCUGACAAUAUUCCCCACGGUGGCAAACCUGAAUAGAAUCAAGCUUAACAGUAAACAAUGUAGGAUAUACAGAGUGAGAGUCAAUGAUUUGGAAGCAGCUUUUAUUUAUAAUGAUCCCACGCUGGAAGUUUGUCACAGUGAAUCAAAGCAGAGAAACCUCAACUACUUUUCCAACGCUUAUGCUGCCGCUGUCAGUGCUGUAGACCCAGAUGCUGGAAACGGAGAGCUGUGUAUUAAGGUGCCGUCAGAGCUGUGGAAACAAGUCGAUGAGCUAAAGGCCCUAAAAGUGCAC
Long non-coding RNA from Gekko japonicus, 358 nucleotides. RefSeq lists it as uncharacterized. Lineage: Eukaryota; Metazoa; Chordata; Lepidosauria; Squamata; Gekkonidae. The transcript is spliced from 4 exons. The record is from RefSeq and is a predicted model, not a curated record.